Molecule: microRNA precursor, 105 nt
Filed under: Marmota monax (woodchuck)
Lineage: Eukaryota; Metazoa; Chordata; Mammalia; Rodentia; Sciuridae
Source: RNAcentral
AUAGAAAUCUCCUGGGGAUUUUGCUGAGAUGCAUAUUAUGAGUCAGUGGGUCUGGGAUGGCACCUGACAUUCUGCAUUUCUACCAAGUUCCCAGGCGAUUCAGAU